Molecule: long non-coding RNA, 307 nt
Filed under: Lathyrus oleraceus (garden pea)
Lineage: Eukaryota; Viridiplantae; Streptophyta; Magnoliopsida; Fabales; Fabaceae
Description: Pisum sativum (pea) long non-coding RNA (PSAT_LNC013764)
Source: RNAcentral
AUGCAUUUUGUGUAUUGUUUUAAAUAAUUAAUUUUUGGUUGAUGAUUUUCAAAUUUUUAAUUUAUGUUAUUUAUCCGAGAAGUAGAAGGUGUUUGUCUGUUGUGUUGAAAAAGUCAAAUUUGCUGUUUUAUUAGUCAAUCUAUUUUUCUUUUCCAUUUUUAUUAUUUUUAUUAUUAUCUACUUUUAUAAUUAUUAUUGAAUAUAGGAUAAAUAUUGGGCUUUUGUUUUACAUAUUAGGCGCAUCAAUCACUUGACAUUUCUUUUUUUUUUGAAAAAUAAUUUAAUUUAAUUUUAUAAUUAGUUUGUG